UACGGGGGGGGCAAGCGUUGUUCGGAAUUACUGGGCGUAAAGGGCUCGUAGGCGGCCAACUAAGUCAGACGUGAAAUCCCUCGGCUUAACCGGGGAACUGCAUCUGAUACUGGAUGGCUUGAGUUCGGGAGAGGGAUGCGGAAUUCCAGGUGUAGCGGUGAAAUGCGUAGAUAUCUGGAGGAACACCGGUGGCGGAGGCGGCAUCCUGGACCGACACUGACGCUGAGGAGCGAAAGCCAGGGGAGCAAACGGG
This 253-nucleotide ribosomal RNA is filed under the name uncultured bacterium. RNAcentral describes it as "partial 16S ribosomal RNA". It matches the Rfam family "Bacterial small subunit ribosomal RNA", at positions 524 to 776 of the family's 1533-position model. The record is from RNAcentral.